RNAcentral lists this ribosomal RNA (380 nucleotides) under uncultured bacterium. RNAcentral describes it as "bacterial SSU rRNA". It matches the Rfam family "Bacterial small subunit ribosomal RNA", at positions 28 to 405 of the family's 1533-position model. The record is from RNAcentral.
GAUGAACGCUAGCGGCAGGCUUAAUACAUGCAAGUCGUGGGGCAGCAGGGGUAGCAAUACCCGCUGGCGACCGGCAAACGGGUGCGGAACACGUACGCAACCUUCCUUUAACUGGAGAAUAGCCCCUCGAAAGAGGGAUUAAUACUCCGUAACAUAUAGAUGUGGCAUCACAAUUAUAUUAUAGCUCCGGCGGUUAAAGAUGGGCGUGCGCCUGAUUAGAUAGUUGGCAGGGUAACGGCCUACCAAGUCUGCGAUCAGUAACUGGUGUGAGAGCACGACCAGUCACACGGGCACUGAGACACGGGCCCGACUCCUACGGGAGGCAGCAGUAAGGAAUAUUGGUCAAUGGACGCAAGUCUGAACCAGCCAUGCCGCGUGGA